This 492-nucleotide ribosomal RNA is filed under the name uncultured bacterium. RNAcentral describes it as "partial 16S ribosomal RNA". It matches the Rfam family "Bacterial small subunit ribosomal RNA", at positions 29 to 507 of the family's 1533-position model. The record is from RNAcentral.
AUUGAACGCUGGCGGCAUGCUUUACACAUGCAAGUCGAACGGUAACAGGCCUUCGGGUGCUGACGAGUGGCGAACGGGUGAGUAAUGCAUCGGAACGUACCCAGAGGUGGGGGAUAACGCAGCGAAAGCUGUGCUAAUACCGCAUGUGAUCUGAGGAUGAAAGCAGGGGACCGAGCAGCAAUGUUUGGCCUCGCGCCUUUGGAGCGGCCGAUGUCGGAUUAGCUAGUUGGUGGGGUAAAGGCCUACCAAGGCGACGAUCCGUAGCUGGUCUGAGAGGACGACCAGCCACACUGGGACUGAGACACGGCCCAGACUCCUACGGGAGGCAGCAGUGGGGAAUUUUGGACAAUGGGCGCAAGCCUGAUCCAGCAAUGCCGCGUGCGGGAAGAAGGCCUUCGGGUUGUAAACCGCUUUUGGCAGGAACGAAACGGUGUCCGCUAAUACCGGGCGCUAAUGACGGUACCCGCAGAAUAAGCACCGGCUAACUACGUG